GGUGGCUCAGUGGUAGAGCACUUGCCUUGCAUGCAUGAAGCCCUGAGUUCAAUUCCUCAGUACCA
RNAcentral lists this transfer RNA (65 nucleotides) under Dipodomys ordii (Ord's kangaroo rat). It matches the Rfam family "tRNA". Rfam says of the family: Transfer RNA (tRNA) molecules are approximately 80 nucleotides in length. Their secondary structure includes four short double-helical elements and three loops (D, anti-codon, and T loops). Further hydrogen bonds mediate the characteristic L-shaped molecular structure. tRNAs have two regions of fundamental functional importance: the anti-codon, which is responsible for specific mRNA codon recognition, and the 3' end, to which the tRNAs corresponding amino acid is attached (by aminoacyl-tRNA synthetases). tRNAs cope with the degeneracy of the genetic code in two manners: having more than one tRNA (with a specific anti-codon) for a particular amino acid; and 'wobble' base-pairing, i.e. permitting non-standard base-pairing at the 3rd anti-codon position. The record is from Rfam by way of RNAcentral. Lineage: Eukaryota; Metazoa; Chordata; Mammalia; Rodentia; Heteromyidae.